UGGCAUCGGCAGCUUACACAUGCAGUCGAGGGGUAUAACAUCUUCGGUGUUAGAGACCGGCGCACGGGUGCGUAACGCGUAUGCAAUCUGCCUUUCACAGAGGGAUAGCCCAGAGAAAUUUGGAUUAAUACCUCAUAGUAUUAUGAAAAGGCAUCUUUUUGUAAUUAAAGUCACAACGGUGAAAGAUGAGCAUGCGUCCCAUUAGUUAGUUGGUAAGGUAACGGCUUACCAAGACUUCGAUGGGUAGGGGUCCUGAGAGGGAGAUCCCCCACACUGGUACUGAGACACGGACCAGACUCCUACGGGAGGCAGCAGUGAGGAAUAUUGGUCAAUGGGCGCAAGCCUGAACCAGCCAUGCCGCGUGCAGGAUGACGGUCCUAUGGAUUGUAAACUGCUUUUGUACGAGAAGAAACACUCCUUCGUGAAGGAGCUUGACGGUAUCGUAAGAAUAAGGAUCGGCUAACUCCGUGCCAGCAGCCGCGGUAAUACGGAGGAUCCAAGCGUUAUCCGGAAUCAUUGGGUUUAAAGGGUCCGUAGGCGGUCUUGUAAGUCAGUGGUGAAAGCCCGUCGCUCAACGACGGAACGGCCAUUGAUACUGCAGGACUUGAAUUAUUGGGAAGUAACUAGAAUAUGUAGUGUAGCGGUGAAAUGCUUAGAGAUUACAUGGAAUACCAAUUGCGAAGGCAGGUUACUACCAAUUGAUUGACGCUGAUGGACGAAAGCGUGGGUAGCGAACAGGAUUAGAUACCCUGGUAGUCCACGCCGUAAACGAUGGAUACUAGCUGUUGGGGGCAACUUCAGUGGCUUAAGGCGGAAGGUGGAUAAGUAUUCCCACCUGGGGGAGGUACGAACCGCAAGGUUUGAAACUCCAAAGGGAAUUGACCGGGGGCCCGCACCAAGCCGGGUGGAAGCAAUGGUGGUUUAAUUCGAUGAAUACGCGAGGAACCUUACCAAGGCUUAAAUGCAGACUGACCGAUUUGGAAACAGAUCUUCGCAAGAACAGUUUACAGGUGCUGCAUGAUGUCGUCAGCUCUGCGUGGAGGUGUCAAGUAGUCUAUACGAGCGCACCCUGUGUAGUGCAGCGAGUCAUUGUCGGAACUCUACAAACUGCGGUGCGAAGCGUUUCGCAGUGGGGAUGAGCGGUCGAAUCACUCACGCCCUAAGCUUGGCUACACGUCUCAUGCGUCAGACGUCACCUUCGAAGGGAGCAACUCUUUAAGCCG
RNAcentral lists this ribosomal RNA (1223 nucleotides) under Flavobacterium sp. RNAcentral describes it as "bacterial SSU rRNA". It matches the Rfam family "Bacterial small subunit ribosomal RNA", at positions 37 to 1265 of the family's 1533-position model. Lineage: Bacteria; Pseudomonadati; Bacteroidota; Flavobacteriia; Flavobacteriales; Flavobacteriaceae. The record is from RNAcentral.